GUGCCCUGCUGGGAGGUGACAGCCCGGUGUCCUGCUGGUCCCAGGGGUCUCUGCAGACUGGAAAUGCCUUUUGCCUCGGAGGGACACUCGAUUUCCAGGUAAGGCAGGCGAGCGUUCCCUACCUAUUGUGGCAGAGUGCAGUAGGUGUCACUAGAGCCCUUUCCAGCGUUCGAGGGGAAUCUCAUUUCAGAUGCAGAAGCCGCUCACAGAGGAGCACAACAAAGCAACUGCUCCUGCAGUCGCGAUUUUGUUUUCCACCUUCCUGUUUGCAGAAGGAAAUACCUGCAAAAGAAAUUAAUCCAGGGAGAUUUUAGCUUUUAGCCCAGGAUGAUUCAGAUGCUAUAAUAUUGUGGUGCAGGGUGAGGACAGUGAAGGUCAAUAACCGACUGGUACAACUUGGCAUCUCUGUGCCAUUCUCCACAGAUCUGUGUCAGGUGAGGAGCUUGGACAGAUCCUGAACACUCAGGGAAGCGUGGGCAGCUCUGGUGGAGACCACAGCAGGUGUUAUCCCUGUUUGGCAUUUGAUUUUUUUGCAUCUUGGAGGAACUCAUGAGAAAGCCUAGGACUGAAAACCAAAACUGACAGCUUUCUGGUCAUUUAAUAUUUGCGUGUGGAAAGGUGCAGUUUUCUCUACAGAAGUACGUUGUUCACCAAGGAGAUAGAAUACUUCACUACAAUGCCCCACAGCCCCUAAAACCAGAUGGUCCAGGCAGAAUUUACUGCUGAACUUUGUUCCCCUGGAGAUGGGAGCUUCCCUCCCUGGAAGGAGCCCUUCCAAAAGCCGCCUCUGAGUUGCUAAGAAACAGCUUGUCACUGUGGCAUGGGCUGUAAUCAGUUGUGUACAGAGCGUUCAACGCUCCUGGUACGUCUGCAUCAAUUAUGCAUCGGCGGUGUGAUUUUUCUUCCUGUGGAAACUUGGCUUCCAGAGGCUCUUUGUGGUGCUCCAGCCAUGACCUAAACCCUCCUUUGCUGAAUAAUUCCUACCGAGACAACACAGUUUCCCCGCUGUGUUUUCCACGCUGCCGUGUUUCAGCAAGGCAAAUAAAUCAGGCUGUCUCCUGCCACCGGGCAGCCUUGUUUGCUCAA
Molecule: long non-coding RNA, 1086 nt
Organism: Pseudopipra pipra
Lineage: Eukaryota; Metazoa; Chordata; Aves; Passeriformes; Pipridae
Exons: 6
Source: RefSeq, a predicted model, not a curated record